Long non-coding RNA from Sinocyclocheilus grahami, 525 nucleotides. RefSeq lists it as uncharacterized. The transcript has 4 exons. The record is from RefSeq and is a predicted model, not a curated record. Lineage: Eukaryota; Metazoa; Chordata; Actinopteri; Cypriniformes; Cyprinidae.
GUGAAUUUUGUCUGCAGCUCAACUGGCUUAGUGUUGACUUCAAUAACUGGAAAGACUGGGAGGAUGAUUCAGAUGAAGAUUUGUCCAACUAUGAUCGCUUUUCAGAUAUGAUGGGCAACAUGGGAGGAGAGGAUGAUUUACCUGACCUAGACGGAGCAGAUGAUGAAUCAGCUGAUAGUGAUGAUGAAAAAAUGCCAGAUCUGGAAUAAGCGACUGGCAUGUUGUGGACAGACAGAGGAGGAGAGGGGGGUGACAAUGAAAAGAGGAAGCCGUCACCUAAAUGCUACAUGAUCUGAAAGAGAGCAAAGCCGAAUUCAGUGAGACCGUUGAGUUCUUGAGCAUCACCUCUGUUUACUCAGUGGCUGCACUCCAGAAGAUCAUCGUAAACCUCUGUUGAGAGUUCAUAUGCAUAUUGUUGUACAGAGCUUCGUUGUCCCUCUCCUUAUGAGCAGUCCUGGCUUUUUUUUUGUUUUGUUUUAAUCUGUACUAAAAACAUGUAUACUUAAACUGUUUGGAAAAACUGCA